UCCAUCCUCCUGUGACAUGAA
This 21-nucleotide microRNA is filed under the name Malus domestica (apple). RNAcentral describes it as "mdm-miR3627d". Lineage: Eukaryota; Viridiplantae; Streptophyta; Magnoliopsida; Rosales; Rosaceae. The record is from miRBase by way of RNAcentral.